GGUUACAGCUUUGAGAGUCUAUUUACACUCUUCCUCUCUUCUUUGUUUUUGUCUACAUGGGUUUUAUGGUCUCAAAUAAAUUUCGGCGACCUCCACCCAUCGUGGUACCAUCCUGGUGCUCCAGAACCGAUGAACGACGGUGCAGCAAGUAAAAAACGUGGGAAAAGGGAAUAAUGAUGCUACAGCUUUGGAAGCCUGAUUUCCCGUGAUUCCCGCAUCCGAUUGGUGAGCUUUCGAUGCCGCUCGAAUCCUUUCUCCAUGGGUUUUCGUUCCUCAUCACCCAUGCCUGCAAUCGGCUGCGAUGGGAGAGAUAUCUGAUUGGUGAUCUCUCGGCGGCGCUCGAAGUGGAGCUGGUAUUGUCAGAAGGAACCACCAUGCUUGCAACCGGGUGUGAUGGAGGAGAUCUACAAUUGGUUGUAAGGGCCGAAAAUGAAUAGCACGAUGAAUGUGAGUUGGUGGUUUUGUGGGCUGGUAAUCGGUAUCGGCAGUCUUCUUCCUUCCAGCCUAGCCAAUAUUAGUAGGAUCAAUAAAUUUUGAGUUGAAUAUUAAUUAUUUUUAUAUAUUCAAUAUUAUUUAUAUUUAUGCAGCAUAUUCAUGCAUCACUUAUAUACCUAAUUAAUAUAUCAGGCGCAUCUUUUUUUUUUUAAAUUAUUUAUUUUGUAUUGUGUCACCUUGGAGAUAAGACGCAUAUCUCACAGACUUCUACUAAUAUAGAUAGGCGGGAUAGGUAAGGCACUAUAUUUCGCUGACUCUCACUCACUACUGCGGAGUAGGUACGACGUUGUAUUUCACCGACUCUCACAUAAUGGUCACUAAAAAAAAUGAUAAAAUUUAUCGAUUAAAUUAUAGAAAAAGUGGUUGGUAAAGUAAAUUAUUGACUACCUUACCGACCAUUUGAAAUGGAUGGUUUCUCCAAUUUGGAUUGUAAUUUUUGGACUAUGGAUUGUUUUGUUGCACCUUUGGUUACCCACAUAAUUAGCUUGUUCAACUUGCAAAAGAGAAUAGUCCAUUAGGCAUUCAUUGGAGUCAUGGAUGUCAACAUAAUUCACACGCACCUACACCACAAAUUAAUAAAGUUAGUGGUAAAUUUAUCCAAUAUUCUAGUUAUGAUAUUUACCCAAGCUUACAAUGCAUAAACAGUGUCAAUCUCACACACUCGUGCAGUCCUCUUGGGUGGAAUCCUUUUUAUAAGAAACUCAAAAUUUGUAGUUGCCGAUUCAUCUAAUAAGUCAUAAAUAUCUUCUAAUUCUAUUUUUAUGAACAAUCCUCUUAUUGCAUUAUCCAUAAUAUUUAUUGUAUUGGUAUUGAGUCUAUAGAAGAAUUUCUCUAAACCAACCAAUUGGGUAAUCCAUAAUGAGGAUACAUUCUGAGCAUAUCUUUUAUUCUCUCACCGGCUUCGUAAAGUGGCUCUAAAUCUAUCUGCAAAAAGUGAUAGAUGUCAUUCUUCAUCUUAACGGUUUUUGCUUGUAGAAAAAAUCUUGCUAAAUUUGCUUUAUCCUUCAGUAUAAAAAGGAAUAGUCUAAAUCUGCUAACUUCAUCUAACACGCCAUUCUACAUAUAAUUAUUACAAAGCUUCAUAAACUAAUAAAUAUGUGUAUGUAGAUCUUUAGUAGGAGGUCCACUAAAUUGAAGUGUGUUUUAAAACAUAUGUACUAAUGAAGAUUUAAGCACAAAAUUGUUAGCUUGCACUCUAGACCAAAUAACGCUUGUGACAAUUUGAUUGAUUUAAUUUGACUAAUAUCGAGAUUGACAUAAUAUCAAAGAGAUUUGCGGUUUUAUGAUCUAACCCAUCACCACCUAUUGGAUUGUCAAACUGUUUUAUUAUUAUUGUUUUCAUUACCCGCUCAAACAAUUACUGUCUUCAGCCAAUCUUUGAUUAACUUUCAAUUUAGUUUCUAUUGAAAUAGUACACUUGCUUUCUCUUACUUUUUCUAUACCGACAAUAAUGCACUUAUUAGGUUGUACAGUAAAGGUUUAGCAACACCUUUUAUCAUACAUAAUAGAAUUUAUUAUUUUGAUAUUAAUUGUUGUCUGUCCUAUCAACAACGUCAAAAACUUAAAGAUAUAAUAUCUGUAAGUGUAUGAAAUCAUCCCAAAUAAUAAAAUAAUGAGUCGAGUAUCAUAUUCACAUGGACUGAAAAUAAGUACUAAAAUGUAUAUAAAUCUAUAUUAUUUAGACUACAAAUAAUGAUGAUGGUAAAAUUGAAAUAAAAUAAAAUAAUAAAAUUUAAUGACUUAACAAAUAGAAUUCACAAAAACAAUUAAUAUUAAGCACUAGGAUAUUUUGAUUUUACUUGGACCUGAUUCAAUUAAUCUAUUUGGUUAGCAAUUCAAUUUUAGUUACUAAAAUUAGAGCAAAUAAUCCUAAAGUAAUUGAUCAUCUCUUCCAAAUAAUACCAAAUUAAUUAACUAAAUAUCUAUCUGCUCAUAAUCUAAUAACUCUCUAAUUAAUUUUUCAAACACUAUUAUUAUUUUUCAAGGCUCCACAAGUUAAAUUUUUAUUUCCAAUCUAAUUAAUAUUAUUAGAAUAUUCAAUUCUUUUUUAUCUUAAAGUAUUCAUUUCCAAAUAGUAGUCUAAAUGACAAGAAAAUAUUCGUCCUUGGAUCUUUAACUAUAAUGACAAGAAAAGAAUCGACAUACAUAGCAUUCUCUUUGAAUUCAACGUUUCGCGAAUGAAGCAUUAAAUUUUCACAUCUCUCCUCUUUUUUUUUUUUUUUUAAAU
Molecule: long non-coding RNA, 2722 nt
Organism: Manihot esculenta (cassava)
Lineage: Eukaryota; Viridiplantae; Streptophyta; Magnoliopsida; Malpighiales; Euphorbiaceae
Exons: 4
Source: RefSeq, a predicted model, not a curated record